This 511-nucleotide ribosomal RNA is filed under the name uncultured bacterium. RNAcentral's name for it is "partial 16S ribosomal RNA". It matches the Rfam family "Bacterial small subunit ribosomal RNA", at positions 28 to 506 of the family's 1533-position model. The record is from RNAcentral.
GAUGAACGCUGGCGGCGUGCCUAAUACAUGCAAGUCGAACGAAACUUCUUUAUCACCGAGUGCUUGCACUCACCGAUACAGAGUUGAGUGGCGAACGGGUGAGUAACACGUGGGCAACCUGCCCAAAAGAGGGGGAUAACACUUGGAAACAGGUGCUAAUACCGCAUAACCAUAGUUACCGCAUGGUAACUAUGUAAAAGGUGGCUAUACUACCGCUUUUGGAUGGGCCCGCGGCGCAUUAGCUAGUUGGUAGGGUAAAGGCUUACCAAGGCAAUGAUGCGUAGCCGAAUUGAGAGGUUGAUCGGCCACAUUGGGACUGAGACACGGCCCAGACUCCUACGGGAGGCAGCAGUAGGGAAGCGACCAAAAUGGGCGAAAGCCUGAUGGAGCAACGCCGCGUGGGUGAAGAAGGUCUGCGGAUCGUAAAACCCUGUUGUUAGAGAAGAAAGUGCGUGAGAGUAACUGUUCGCGUUUCGACGGAAUCUAACCAGAAGGCCACGGCUAACUACGU